UGCGUGCACUUAUCGGGAAGGGUGAGAACCUUCGAUUAAGGUUCGACUCGAGCGAAAGCGAGAGAACGUUGCCAGAGGCAACGGCCCGAAGGGUGAGGAACGAAGUGACGAAUAAUCCUUCCCCAACCACCA
RNAcentral lists this small RNA (132 nucleotides) under Kosakonia sacchari. Its description in RNAcentral is "RtT sRNA". It matches the Rfam family "RtT RNA". Rfam says of the family: This family represents a bacterial cis-regulatory element known as RtT RNA. The exact function of RtT is unknown although it is thought that it may be involved in changing the cellular response in relation to amino acid starvation. The record is from RNAcentral. Lineage: Bacteria; Pseudomonadati; Pseudomonadota; Gammaproteobacteria; Enterobacterales; Enterobacteriaceae.